Molecule: small nucleolar RNA, 135 nt
Organism: Cottoperca gobio
Lineage: Eukaryota; Metazoa; Chordata; Actinopteri; Perciformes; Bovichtidae
Source: Ensembl
GUGCAGACCUUUCCAGCGAGGCUCGGCCUGCAGUGGCUCUGCUCUUUCCUAUUGUGUCUGCUAGAGAGAUGUGAGGCUGUUUGAGGCCCUGCUGUAACUCUUUAUGGCAGGGUUAUAGGUAAGUCUCAGACAAAC